GGAUUGUAGUCUGCAACUCGACUACAUGAAGCUGGAAUCGCUAGUAAUCGCGAAUCAGAAUGUCGCGGUGAAUACGUUCCCGGGUCUUGUACACACCGCCCGUCACACCAUGGGAGUCGGAUAUGCCCGAAGUCAGUGACCCAACCAUAUGGAGGGAGCUGCCGAAGGUGGAGCCGAUAACUGGGGUGAAGUCGUAACAAGGUAAC
This 206-nucleotide ribosomal RNA is filed under the name uncultured bacterium. RNAcentral describes it as "partial 16S ribosomal RNA". It matches the Rfam family "Bacterial small subunit ribosomal RNA", at positions 1295 to 1500 of the family's 1533-position model. The record is from RNAcentral.